UUAUAUGUGGCUCAGUGGUAGAGUGUCUGCCUGGUAUGUAUAAGGCCCUGGGUUCAAUCCACAGCACUACAAA
Molecule: transfer RNA, 73 nt
Filed under: Marmota monax (woodchuck)
Lineage: Eukaryota; Metazoa; Chordata; Mammalia; Rodentia; Sciuridae
Description: tRNA.Thr
Rfam family: tRNA (bases 6-66)
About the family: Transfer RNA (tRNA) molecules are approximately 80 nucleotides in length. Their secondary structure includes four short double-helical elements and three loops (D, anti-codon, and T loops).
Source: RNAcentral